UCGAAUAACCUGAUACUGAUGCUGGCCCUUCUUGGGGCAUGUGCUCGUGUCAUCUUAUUUAUCAAUCUCUUGUGCACCUCUUGUAGUCUUCGAAGUGAAAAACCUCUCGCAGUCAAAUGCGGGUUUGGGGUCUGGGCCUAGCCCUUUCCCUGCUUGCUUCGAGGGCUAUGUUUUUCAUACACCCUAUUAAAGUUAUAGAAUGUCUCUUUAUUGACCCUCGCGGUCGGUAAAACCUAUA
RNAcentral lists this unclassified non-coding RNA (238 nucleotides) under uncultured Tricholomataceae. RNAcentral's name for it is "sequence contains ITS1". Lineage: Eukaryota; Fungi; Basidiomycota; Agaricomycetes; Agaricales; Tricholomataceae. The record is from RNAcentral.